AGCUUUGCGCAGUGGCAGUAUCGUAGCCAAUGAGGUUUAUCCGAGGCGCGAUUAUUGCUAAUUGAAUAGAAAGCACUCAGUGAAGGUGAGUUAUGAUUAUUAUCAUCAUAUGAAUUCCAAUUCCAACACUGUU
Molecule: small nuclear RNA, 133 nt
Filed under: Physeter macrocephalus (sperm whale)
Lineage: Eukaryota; Metazoa; Chordata; Mammalia; Artiodactyla; Physeteridae
Description: Physeter catodon (sperm whale) U4 spliceosomal RNA (ENSPCTG00005013024.1)
Rfam family: U4 spliceosomal RNA
About the family: U4 small nuclear RNA (U4 snRNA) is a component of the major U2-dependent spliceosome. The structure of U4 snRNA from yeast and human has been reported. U4 snRNA presents a k-turn RNA motif in the 5p-SL related to recognition of Snu13 protein.
Source: Rfam by way of RNAcentral